UAAGAUAAAGAACCAAUAUUUUUGGUGAUUCAUAAUAACUUUACGGAUCACAUUAUGUGACAUAUCAUUCAAGUUUCUGACCUAUCAGCUUUAGACGGUAGGGUAUUGGCCUACCGUGGCUAUGACGGGUAACGGGGAAUUAGGGUUCGAUUCCGGAGAGGGAGCCUGAGAAACGGCUACCACAUCUAAGGAAGGCAGCAGGCGCGCAAAUUACCCAAUCCUAAUACAGGGAGGUAGUGACAAGAAAUAACAAUACAGAACCUUACGGUUUUGUAAUUGGAAUGAGUUAAGUAUAAACCCCUUAACAAGUAUCAAUUGGAGGGCAAGUCUGGUGCCAGCAGCCGCGGUAAUUCCAGCUCCAAUAGCGUAUAUUAAAGUUGUUGCAGUUAAAAAGCUCGUAGUUAAUCUUCUGUUAAUUUUUAUAUAUAAUAUUUCGAUAUUUAUAUAAUAUUAACAUAAUUCAUAUUACUUUUUAGUAUAUGAAACUUUACUUUGAGAAAAUUAGAGUGCUUAAAGCAGGCUAUUGCCUUGAAUACUCCAGCAUGGAAUAAUAUUAAGGAUUUUUAUUCUUCUUAUUGGUUCUAGAAUAAAAAUGAUGAUUAAUAGGAACAGUUGGGGGCAUUUGUAUUUAACAGUCAGAGGUGAAAUUCUUAGAUUUGUUAAAGACAAACUACUGCGAAAGCAUUUGCCAAGGAUGUUUUCAUUAAUCAAGAACGAAAGUUAGGGGAUCGAAGACGAUCAGAUACCGUCGUAGUCUUAACCAUAAACUAUGCCAACUAGAGAUUGG
This 787-nucleotide ribosomal RNA is filed under the name Cryptosporidium bovis. RNAcentral's name for it is "SSU rRNA". It matches the Rfam family "Eukaryotic small subunit ribosomal RNA", at positions 210 to 1056 of the family's 1831-position model. Lineage: Eukaryota; Apicomplexa; Conoidasida; Eucoccidiorida; Cryptosporidiidae. The record is from RNAcentral.